This 2032-nucleotide long non-coding RNA is filed under the name Capra hircus (goat). RNAcentral describes it as "lncRNA (ENSCHIG00010001598.1)". The record is from RNAcentral. Lineage: Eukaryota; Metazoa; Chordata; Mammalia; Artiodactyla; Bovidae.
CCUUGGUGAAUUCAGCCUUUGCUAUUUUCAACUUCUGCUGGAAGUGACUCCUGGCUACCAACCUAGAUCAUCUGAGGAGGGGAGGAAGGGAUCCCGGGUGGCUCCUGUGUCUCUUUGGAGUGUGGAAGGGUUCCAGAAUUUUCCUUUCAUUUCCAGAUGAUCAUCAGAAAUCAUUUAAGUCCCAGAGGCCCUUUUCUAAGCAGGCUGACCCCUGAGUCACUCCUGUGUGCUCCCCAUCUCCUGCAGUGAUCGUAUUCCUCUGUCCAUUCGUAAUUUUAAUUAUGCGUUUACUCAAUGGGCCUGCCUUCUGGUGAACUUCUCCUGGUAACUCAUUAAACCUCUGAGUCACGCAUUCAUUAUUAAAGAGGGGGCAAGGUGGGGAAAGGAAAGAACGGAAAGGAGCUGUGCCCUGGGAGGAACUUGGGGAGGAUCUCUGUGGUUGAGUGUAGCUGAGUCUCUGGAGGCCUCAGUUAGCUCUUCUCCCGUCUAGGAUGUACCCUGCACUGCGGGGCACUGUACCGACUGUAGGGAGGUCAUUGGUCAGGUUGGCCUGAAAUUGAGUUUUUACUAUGGUAGGAGACUACUUACAGUUUUGGUGAAAGUCUUUCCCUCCUGCUUAACUCUGCCCUUUGGAAUUAGGUGGUCUCAAAACAACGAUGGAGCCACUAGUUAAAAAGGAAUUCCAAUCUUAACUUGUGACUCUGAAAGAGCAUUAAAGGGAACUGAUUCAUAACCCACAGAGGCACUUCUUAAUAUUCCCUUUCCUUUCCACUACAGUUUUUUAAAGAACUACUCCAACCUCCCUGCCCACUACCACUCAGCCCAGGGAACUAUCUCCUCUCUCACCCUCUCCUCAAGGUGUUCAGGAAAAAAAUGCACAAAAUCCUGACUGACCGGAAUAAUUCAUGAAGAAGGGGCUGGAUCCGUGGGUCAGAGAGCACAGGACCGGUGUACCAUCCCAAGGCCGAAGGAAUAUCACCUGCUCCCUGGCCUGAUGAUGAACUUCUAGCACAGAAGUCAUUUUUCCACAUCACCUUUUCUGGCACAGAGCUGGAUGUACAGCAGGUGUUCAGUAAAUAUUGGUUGGUUGAUUUUAUUUCAAUUGAUUUUAUUUCUGAGGAUGCCACAAUAUCACAUUCUGUGAUGAUAGUAAAUAUGUCCGAGGAUUGUAAUGCAGGUUCUACAGUUUCCUCCUUUUCGACUUUUAAGUAUUUCUGAACACUCUACAUACUUUCUUGAGAAUUAUACAUCAUAUUCAGUAUUAGUAGCAGGACUAAUUCAUGUCCUUAUCAUUUUCCAAGAAGAACACUUUUGUGUGCUCUAGCAGCCUUGAUAAGGGCUUCUUGGUGGCCCAAUGGUAAAGAAUCUACCUUCAAUGCAGGAGACACGGGUUUGAUCCCUGGGUCAGGAAGAUCCCCUGGANNNNNNNNACCCACUCCAGUAUUCUUGCCUGGGAAAUCCCAUAGACAGAGGAGUCUGGAGGGGUUGUAAAGAGUCAGAUUUAGGACUAACAACAGCAACAACAAGCAGCCUUGGUAUCUUUCUUUGUAGGAUUGUUUUCCAGAACAAAAGUGAUUCUAACUGGUAACUAGCCCUGUGCCCUCCCGCCUCCUGGAAUGAGGUUGGUUGUUGGGUGGCUCUUCUGGGGUGAUCGGGACAGAUUUAAUAGACCUUGUUGGUGCUCUGCCUGGACACCCUGGGAUCACUUUGUGCUCCCACCCCACAGCUGCUAUGGCCUUUGCUGCCCCUUUAAAGAACUGACCUCUUGAUAUCUCGGUAUCUCGGUAGCCAGUAUUAACUGGUGUGGGAAUGAGAAACGUAGCUGCCUUGCCUUGGGGAGGAGGGAGCAGAUUCAGGAGGAGGCCAAGUUUGUACUCCAGGAGUCUCCUGGGGUCAGGCUGAAGCUGGGACUUCACCUGAGGUUAGAGUGGCUUGGCUCUCCCCCGACUCUUUUCCUGAGUCCCUUGGGAGCAUUUCUUUAAUGAAUCACCUGCCCAGGAAUCCUUGUCCUACUCUGGGGGAACAUGUCCUC